This 1470-nucleotide ribosomal RNA is filed under the name metagenome. Its description in RNAcentral is "bacterial SSU rRNA". It matches the Rfam family "Bacterial small subunit ribosomal RNA". The record is from RNAcentral.
AGAGUUUGAUCAUGGCUCAGGACGAACGCUGGCGGCACGCUUAACACAUGCAAGUCGAACGAGAGAAGAGGAGCUUGCUUUUCUGAUCUAGUGGCGGACGGGUGAGUAACACGUGAGCAAUCUGCCUUUCAGAGGGGGAUACCGAUUGGAAACGAUCGUUAAUACCGCAAAACAUAAUUGAACCGCAUGAUUUGAUUAUCAAAGAUUUAUCGCUGAAAGAUGAGCUCGCGUCUGAUUAGCUAGUUGGUAAGGUAACGGCUUACCAAGGCGACGAUCAGUAGCCGGACUGAGAGGUUGAUCGGCCACAUUGGGACUGAGACACGGCCCAGACUCCUACGGGAGGCAGCAGUGGGGAAUAUUGCACAAUGGAGGAAACUCUGAUGCAGCGAUGCCGCGUGAGGGAAGAAGGUUUUAGGAUUGUAAACCUCUGUCUUCAGGGACGAAAAAAGACGGUACCUGAGGAGGAAGCUCCGGCUAACUACGUGCCAGCAGCCGCGGUAAUACGUAGGGAGCCAGCGUUGUCCGGAAUUACUGGGUGUAAAGGGAGCGUAGGCGGGAUCGCAAGUCAGAUGUGAAAACUAUGGGCUUAACCCAUAAACUGCAUUUGAAACUGCGGUUCUUGAGUGAAGUAGAGGUAAGCGGAAUUCCUAGUGUAGCGGUGAAAUGCGUAGAUAUUAGGAGGAACAUCAGUGGCGAAGGCGGCUUACUGGGCUUUAACUGACGCUGAGGCUCGAAAGCGUGGGGAGCAAACAGGAUUAGAUACCCUGGUAGUCCACGCCGUAAACGAUGAUUACUAGGUGUGGGGGGACUGACCCCUUCCGUGCCGCAGCAAACGCAAUAAGUAAUCCACCUGGGGAGUACGACCGCAAGGUUGAAACUCAAAGGAAUUGACGGGGGCCCGCACAAGCAGUGGAGUAUGUGGAUUAAUUCGAAGCAACGCGAAGAACCUUACCAGGUCUUGACAUCGUAUGCAUAGCUCAGAGAUGAGUGAAAUCUCUUCGGAGACAUAUAGACAGGUGGUGCAUGGUUGUCGUCAGCUCGUGUCGUUAGAUGUUGGGUUAAGUCCCGCAACGAGCGCAACCCUUACUGUUAGUUGCUACGCAAGAGCACUCUAGCAGGACUGCCGUUGACAAAACGGAGGAAGGUGGGGAUGACGUCAAAUCAUCAUGCCCCUUAUGACCUGGGCCUCACACGUACUACAAUGGCUGUCAACAGAGGGAAGCAAAGCCGCGAGGUGGAGCGAACCCCUAAAAGCAGUCUUAGUUCGGAUUGUAGGCUGCAACCCGCCUACAUGAAGUCGGAAUUGCUAGUAAUCGCAGAUCAGCAUGCUGCGGUGAAUACGUUCCCGGGCCUUGUACACACCGCCCGUCACGCCAUGGGAGUCGGUAACACCCGAAGCCUGUAGUCUAACCGCAAGGAGGACGCAGUCGAAGGUGGGAUUGAUGACUGGGGUGAAGUCGUAACAAGGUA